CCAAAGGCACGUGUCGUUGG
Molecule: small RNA, 20 nt
Filed under: Arabidopsis thaliana (thale cress)
Lineage: Eukaryota; Viridiplantae; Streptophyta; Magnoliopsida; Brassicales; Brassicaceae
Description: Ath_wt_12005
Source: RNAcentral